Molecule: ribosomal RNA, 520 nt
Filed under: uncultured bacterium
Lineage: Bacteria
Description: bacterial SSU rRNA
Rfam family: Bacterial small subunit ribosomal RNA
Source: RNAcentral
AAUAGAUACCCGGGUAGUCCACGCCGUAAACGAUGAGUGCUAAGUGUUAGAGGGUUUCCGCCCUUUAGUGCUGAAGUUAACGCAUUAAGCACUCCGCCUGGGGAGUACGGCCGCAAGGCUGAAACUCAAAGGAAUUGACGGGGGCCCGCACAAGCGGUGGAGCAUGUGGUUUAAUUCGAAGCAACGCGAAGAACCUUACCAGGUCUUGACAUCCUCUGACAACCCUAGAGAUAGGGCUUCUCCUUCGGGAGCAGAGUGACAGGUGGUGCAUGGUUGUCGUCAGCUCGUGUCGUGAGAUGUUGGGUUAAGUCCCGCAACGAGCGCAACCCUUGAUCUUAGUUGCCAUCAUUUAGUUGGGCACUCUAAGGUGACUGCCGGUGACAAACCGGAGGAAGGUGGGGAUGACGUCAAAUCAUCAUGCCCCUUAUGACCUGGGCUACACACGUGCUACAAUGGACGGUACAAAGAGCUGCAAGACCGCGAGGUGGAGCUAAUCUCAUAAAACCGUUCUCAGUUCGGA